This is a long non-coding RNA of Anguilla anguilla (European eel), 804 nucleotides long. RefSeq lists it as uncharacterized. Lineage: Eukaryota; Metazoa; Chordata; Actinopteri; Anguilliformes; Anguillidae. The record is from RefSeq and is a predicted model, not a curated record. The transcript is spliced from 2 exons.
ACGUGCUCACUUACACGAGUUAACUUCCUACUUCCCAUGAAUACUGAAUACACUUGUAAUGCAGAAACAGAAAGAUAACGGAACUCAGUUGCUAUUUUAGAAUACGCCUCGAUUAAUUUAGGCCCCAAACACGGUCUUAAAACUAAAAUAUUUCUCUAUAAAAACACCUAUCAGAUGUCGGCGCAGCAUGCCCAGGCAUGCAGCUGUGCGCGUAUACAAACACACGUAGCCUACAGUAGGCUAUAGAGAUGCAUCGUGAACAGAGAUGUCUUCUGGACUGCCAGAGAGUGAGAUUGGACAAUGCAGCAAUUUCAUAUCCACAUUAUGCAAUGAUUGGCUUCAGUAGAACAAGUUAAUACGGUAUCAGUAGCCAAACAAUACGACCGCGAGUCUCCAUACUGCAACAAGUGCGCACGCAGUUCAAUUAGCAGCCGGAAGCGGGUUGACGCACGAGCCCAUUAGUGGUUAUCAGGUGCUGUUGACGUUCAGCUGUUACGUCGUUGCGAACUUGGACUUGCUUGCCAAGUUACAGGUAAAGUCAAAGGUAACAGCAGCUUCACCACACAUGCACAACCAUUAAAUACGUAAAAUUAAAUUAAACUACUAUGGUUAAUUAAAAAGCCCUAGUUGUAGUUUUGCAGUGGUAAAUUUCAAAUUGCCUAUCAGGUUAUUAAUACUGAUGUAUUAUCCUUUGGGGCCAGCUGUGGAUGCAUUAUGUGUAUUAAUUUUAUUUAUGUGUGUUAAACUAAUGUUUAUAAUUAUGAUAUGCGUACCGUGCAUAAAUAUGACUGUUUCCAUUUUUGA